Long non-coding RNA from Micropterus salmoides (largemouth bass), 542 nucleotides. RefSeq lists it as uncharacterized. The record is from RefSeq and is a predicted model, not a curated record. NCBI's taxonomy places the organism in Eukaryota, Metazoa, Chordata, Actinopteri, Centrarchiformes, Centrarchidae. The transcript has 2 exons.
GCUUAACACUCCACUAUGUUCACCAGCUAGUCUCUAACUGUAUCUGCCUGCUAUUUGUGUUAUGAUUAGGCCUUGCCUCCUUCUUCUUCCUAGUGUUCUCCCUGUGAUUCCCUCCCCUGCUGUCUCUGUCUGUCUUGUUUGUCAUGUGCUCUGUGUGUGUUCAUGGGCGUGUCCAAUCCUGGCUCCUGUCCACCUGCAGCGUCUCCCACCUGCGGCUCAUCCAGUAAUCAACCUGUGCAGUCAAAUACUCUGGUUCAGCUCCCACUCUUAGUUCGUCAGUUUACCUCCCGUGUAUCCACCUGAGACGCUGCCCGCCUGCCUACCUGCACCCUGCCUGUCAGCCUGUCAGCAAAGCAAUGCUUACUUGUGACCUCUUUUCACGUGUUGCAAAUGUCUACAACUUCUAUGUAGACAUUUAGACACAUGUAGACACUUCUAUGUAGACAUUAUGAUUUACUGAUGCUGAUUGAUGUUUCAAUAAACAAAACACAACAAAAAAAAGUGAUUAAAAAAUCAUUGUGUAGCAGAAAUUGUCUUGACAA